CACGUAGGGGACGAGCGUUGUCCGGAUUCAUUGGGCGUAAAGCGCGCGUAGGCGGCUCGGAAAGUCGGUCGUGAAAUGCCGGGGCUCAACCCCGGGACUGCGUCCGAUACUCUCGAGCUGGAGGCAGGUAGGGGAGGUCGGAAUUCCUGGUGUAGCGGUGAAAUGCGUAGAGAUCAGGAGGAACACCUGUGGUGUAGACAGCUUACUGGACGGUGACUGACGCUGAGGCACGAAAGCGUGGGUAGCAAACAGG
This 253-nucleotide ribosomal RNA is filed under the name uncultured bacterium. Its description in RNAcentral is "partial 16S ribosomal RNA". It matches the Rfam family "Bacterial small subunit ribosomal RNA", at positions 524 to 776 of the family's 1533-position model. The record is from RNAcentral.